UGCGUUGCCUGGGAAAACUCACCUUUCUGGUUCAAGGUGUGGGCAUGCAUGAUGUUGUGGAACACACCUCCUUGGCUGGGUGGAGUAAUUACAUUGAGAGAGAAAAAGGGAGAGGAGAUCAGAAUAGUCCUGUUGAUCUGUCACAGCUCAUCAAAGGUGAAGAAGCAACUUGGUAUACACGAAGAAAGUCAGCAGACUUAGACUACCUGUCUACAAUGUCCUACAAAACUCCAUACUCUCCUAAAACAAGUAUGAGCUCCAAUCAGGCUAUCAAAGACCUCAAGAGAAGGAGCCUUUUAACAGACGGCAGUUGGAUUAAAAAUACUGACGAAGAUGAAUCUGUGUUCAACACAGAAGAGGAGGAUCUGAGGCCGGCAUACAAGACUGGUUCAGUCGGCAACCUCUCAAAGAGAUUUGGUGGGAGCCAAGAUUUUCUUGACAAAAGCAGCAAAGCAAAGCCGUCACAGACAAUAGCUGCAAGCACCAGGUAUUCAACAUCAAUCUAAUGUAAAACUCUGUCU
Long non-coding RNA from Clupea harengus (Atlantic herring), 521 nucleotides. The record is from Ensembl. Lineage: Eukaryota; Metazoa; Chordata; Actinopteri; Clupeiformes; Clupeidae.